UGGAGAGUUUGAUCCUGGCUCAGGACGAACGCUGGCGGCGUGCUUAACACAUGCAAGUCGAACGGAAAGGUCUCUUCGGAGAUACUCGAGUGGCGAACGGGUGAGUAACACGUGGGUAAUCUGCCCUGCACUUCGGGAUAAGCCUGGGAAACUGGGUCUAAUACCGAAUAGGACCCCGAGGCGCAUGCCUUGGGGUGGAAAGCUUUUGCGGUGUGGGAUGGGCCCGCGGCCUAUCAGCUUGUUGGUGGGGUGACGGCCUACCAAGGCGACGACGGGUAGCCGGCCUGAGAGGGUGUCCGGCCACACUGGGACUGAGAUACGGCCCAGACUCCUACGGGAGGCAGCAGUGGGGAAUAUUGCACAAUGGGCGCAAGCCUGAUGCAGCGACGCCGCGUGGGGGAUGACGGCCUUCGGGUUGUAAACCUCUUUCACCAUCGACGAAGGUCCGGGUUUUCUCGGAUUGACGGUAGGUGGAGAAGAAGCACCGGCCAACUACGUGCCAGCAGCCCCGGUA
RNAcentral lists this ribosomal RNA (514 nucleotides) under Mycobacterium malmoense. RNAcentral describes it as "bacterial SSU rRNA". It matches the Rfam family "Bacterial small subunit ribosomal RNA", at positions 1 to 522 of the family's 1533-position model. Lineage: Bacteria; Bacillati; Actinomycetota; Actinomycetes; Mycobacteriales; Mycobacteriaceae. The record is from RNAcentral.